GGUCAAGUUACUAAGGGUUGACGGUGGAUGCCUUGGCACAGAGAGGCGAUGAAAGACGUGGCAAGCAGCGAUAUGCCUCGGGGAGCGGCAAGCACGCUUAGAUCCGGGGAUUUCUGAAUGGGGCAACCCCACUGGAGUCAUGUCCAGUGAUCACCACCUGAAUACAUAGGGUGGAUGAGGCGAACCGAGGGAAGUGAACCAUCUCAGUACCUCGAGGAAGAGAAAUCAAACGAGAUUCCGUCAGUAGCGGCGAGCGAACGCGGAAGAGCCCAAACCGAUGGCCUUCGGGCUGUCGGGGUUGUGGGGCCCGCUCACAUGGAGUGACAAACCGAUUGUCUAGUCGAAGAGUCCGGAACGGCUCACCAGAGAAGGUGACAGUCCUGUAGGCGAAAGGCAAACGGCUCCGAGUGGGUACCCGAGUACCACGGGACACGUGGAACCCUGUGGGAAUCUGGGGGGACCAUCCUCCAAGGCUAAACACUACUCUGUGACCGAUAGCGCACUAGUACCGUGAGGGAAAGGUGAAAAGAACCCCUGUUAGGGGAGUGAAAUAGUACCUGAAACCGUCAAUCUACAAGCAGUGGAACCGCUAUGCCUCCGCAAGGGGGAAUGCGGGACCGCGUGCCUUUUGCAUAAUGAGCCGGCUAGUUACUCUCAGGGGCAAGGCGAAGCAAUUUGCAUAGCCGUAGCGAAAGCGAGUCUGAAUAGGGCGAAAAUGAGUCGCUGGGAGUACACGCGAAGCGGGAUGAUCUAGGCAUGGCCAGGAUGAAACCUGGGUAACACCAGGUGGAGGUCCGAACCAGUGUUGGUUGAAAACAGCUUGGAUGAGCUGUGCCUAGGGGUGAAAGGCCAAUCAAAUUCCGUUAUAGCUCGUUCUCUCCGAAAUAUCUUUAGGGAUAGCGUCGCGUCGACCAUGAUGGUGGUAGAGCGCUGGAUGGACUAGGGGCCUUACCGGGUUACUGAAUCCAACCAAACUUCGAAUGCCAUCAAUGCAAUGCGCGGCAGUCAGACGGCGGGGGAUAAGCUUCGUCGUCGAGAGGGGAACAACCCAGACCGCCAGCUAAGGUCCCCAAAUUCACGCUAAGUGGAAAAGGAUGUGGAGACGCACAGACAGCCAGGAGGUUGGCUUAGAAGCAGCCACCCUUUAAAGAAAGCGUAAUAGCUCACUGGUCAAGUGGCUCCGUGCCGACAAUGUAACGGGGCUCAAGCGUGGUACCGAAGCUGCGGAUCUACACGAUCCUUCGGGAUCGAGUAGGUGGUAGGAGAGCAUUCUGAACCGGAGUGAAGUCAGACCGAAAGGACUGGUGGACCGUUCAGAAGAGACUCUGCCGGCACAAGUAGCGAUAAAGUGUGUGAGAAUCACACUCGCCGUAAGUCUAAGGUUUCCUGAGGAAGGUUCGUCCGCUCAGGGUCAGUCGGUCCCUAAGGCGAGGCCGAAAGGCGUAGUCGAUGGGAAACAGGUCAACAUUCCUGUACCGGACCGUGAUGCGAUGGGGUGACGCAGGAGGAUAGGUGGGCCACCGAACGGAAGUGGUGGUCGAAGCUGGUAGGAUGACUGGGCAGGCAAAUCCGUCCGGUUAUAUCCGAGAAGCGAGUGCGAGCCCUUUUUUGGGCGAAGUCACUGAUUCCAGGCUGCCAAGAAAAACCUCUAAGCUUCAGUCACGGGACGACCGUACCGCAAACCGACACAGGUAGACGGGAAGAGAAUUCCAAGGCGCGUGAGUGAUCCCUCGUGAAGGAACUCGGCAAAUUAGCACCGUAACUUCGGAAGAAGGUGUGCUGACUGUCGUUAGCUUCCUCGCGAAGUGAAGCGACAGUUAGUCGCAGUGAAAUGCCCCAAGCGACUGUUUAUCAAAAACACAGGGCUCUGCAAAGUCGAAAACGACGUAUAGGGUCUGACUCCUGCCCGGUGCCGGAAGGUUAAGGGGAGCGGUUAGCCGCAAGGCGAAGCUGCGAACCGAAGCCCCGGUAAACGGCGGCCGUAACUAUAACGGUCCUAAGGUAGCGAAAUUCCUUGUCGGGUAAGUUCCGACCUGCACGAAUGGAGUAACGAUUUGGGGACUGUCUCCACGAGGGGCUCAGCGAAUCUGUAGCGCUGGUGAAGAUGCCAGCUACCCGCAACUAGACGGAAAGACCCUGUGCACCUUUACUGCACCCUGGCAGUGAACUUUGGUGCUGUAUGUGUAGGAUAGGUGGGACUCUUUGAAGCCGGGCCGCUAGGUUCGGUGGAGAGGCCGGUGAAAUACCACCCUUACAGUACCGAAGUUCUAACCGAGGUCCGUGAUCCGGAUCCGGGACAUUGCCAGGCGGGCAGUUUGACUGGGGCGGUCGCCUCCCAAAGUGUAACGGAGGCUCGCGAAGGUUCCCUCAGGCUGUUUGGAAAUCAGCCGACGAGUGCAAAGGCAGAAGGGAGCUUAACUGCAAGACCUACAAGUCGAGCAGAUGCGAAAGCAGGCCUUAGUGAUCCGGUGGUUCUGUAUGGAAGGGCCAUCGCUCAAAGGAUAAAAGGUACGCCGGGGAUAACAGGCUGAUCCUGACCAAGAGUUCACAUCGACGUCAGGGUUUGGCACCUCGAUGUCGGCUCAUCGCAUCCUGGGGCUGGAGCAGGUCCCAAGGGUCCGGCUGUUCGCCGGUUAAAGCGGUACGUGAGCUGGGUUCAGAACGUCGCGAGACAGUUCGGUCCCUAUCUGUUGUGGGCGGAGGAGAAUUGAGAGGAGGUUUCCUUAGUACGAGAGGACCGGGAAGCACUGACCUCUAGUGUACGAGUUGUCACGCCAGUGGCAUCGCUCGGUAGCUAAGUCGGGAAAGGAUAAUCGCUGAAAGCAUAUAAGCGAGAAGCCAACCUCGAGAUGAGUUCUCCCUGAAGACCCGUGGUAGAUGACCACGUUGAUAGGCUGGAUGUGUACGAGCAGUGAUGCUCUGAGCUGACCAGUACUAAUCGGUCG
This 2945-nucleotide ribosomal RNA is filed under the name Chloroflexota bacterium. RNAcentral's name for it is "partial 23S ribosomal RNA". It matches the Rfam family "Bacterial large subunit ribosomal RNA". Lineage: Bacteria; Bacillati; Chloroflexota. The record is from RNAcentral.